AUUGAACGCUGGCGGCAUGCUUUACACAUGCAAGUCGAACGGCAGCACGGGUGCUUGCACCUGGUGGCGAGUGGCGAACGGGUGAGUAAUGCAUCGGAACGUGCCCAUGAGUGGGGGAUAGCCCGGCGAAAGCCGGAUUAAUACCGCAUACGCCCUUAGGGGGGAAAGCGGGGGAUCUUCGGACCUCGCGCUAUUGGAGCGGCCGAUGUCGGAUUAGCUAGUAGGUGAGGUAAAGGCUCACCUAGGCGACGAUCCGUAGCUGGUCUGAGAGGAUGAUCAGCCACACUGGGACUGAGACACGGCCCAGACUCCUACGGGAGGCAGCAGUGGGGAAUUUUGGACAAUGGGCGCAAGCCUGAUCCAGCCAUGCCGCGGGAGUGAAGAAGGCCUCGG
RNAcentral lists this ribosomal RNA (393 nucleotides) under uncultured bacterium. RNAcentral's name for it is "bacterial SSU rRNA". It matches the Rfam family "Bacterial small subunit ribosomal RNA", at positions 28 to 420 of the family's 1533-position model. The record is from RNAcentral.